Molecule: ribosomal RNA, 329 nt
Filed under: uncultured bacterium
Lineage: Bacteria
Description: bacterial SSU rRNA
Rfam family: Bacterial small subunit ribosomal RNA
Source: RNAcentral
AUUGAACGCUGGCGGCAUGCCUUACACAUGCAAGUCGAACGGCAGCACGGGAGCAAUCCUGGUGGCGAGUGGCGAACGGGUGAGUAAUAUAUCGGAACGUGCCCGGUCGUGGGGAUAACGUAGCGAAAGCUACGCUAAUACCGCAUACGAUCUAUGGAUGAAAGCGGGGGAUCGCAAGACCUCGCGCGAUUGGAGCGGCCGAUAUCAGAUUAAGGUGGUUGGUGAGGUAAAGGCUUACCAAGCCGACGAUCUGUAGCUGGUCUGAGAGGACGACCAGCCACACUGGACUGAGACACGGCCCAGACUCCUACGGAGGCAGCAGUGGGGAA